GCCAAGGUCGCUUAGUGGCUAGCACAUCUGCCUAAUAAGCAGGAGACCUGGGUUCAAUUCCCAGCCUUGGCA
Schistocerca piceifrons (Central American locust) is the source of this 72-nucleotide non-coding RNA. Lineage: Eukaryota; Metazoa; Arthropoda; Insecta; Orthoptera; Acrididae. The record is from the annotation of a RefSeq genome assembly.